CCUACGGGAGGCAGCAGUGAGGAAUAUUGGUCAAUGGGCGCGAGCCUGAACCAGCCAAGUCGCGUGAGGGAUGACGGUCCUACGGAUUGUAAACCUCUUUUGCCGGGGAGCAAGCGUGCGUUCGUGAACGCACGUCGAGAGUACCCGGAGAAAAAGCAUCGGCUAACUCCGUCCCAGCAGCCGCGGUAAUACGGAGGAUGCGAGCGUUAUCCGGAUUUAUUGGGUUGAAAGGGUGCGUAGGCGGGAUGCCAAGUCAGCGGUAAAAAUGCGGUGCUCAACGCCGUCGAGCCGUUGAAACUGGCGUUCUUGAGUGGGCGAGAAGUAUGCGGAAUGCGUGGUGUAGCGGUGAAAUGCAUAGAUAUCACGCAGAACUCCGAUUGCGAAGGCAGCAUACCGGCGCUCUACUGACGCUGAGGCACGAAAGCGUGGGUAUCGAACAGGAUUAGAUACCCUAGUAGUC
Molecule: ribosomal RNA, 460 nt
Filed under: uncultured bacterium
Lineage: Bacteria
Description: partial 16S ribosomal RNA
Rfam family: Bacterial small subunit ribosomal RNA
Source: RNAcentral